AUGCAAGCAAGCAAGCAAGCACGUGGAAAGAAACAGAGGGGCCAAACCGACUGUGUUCACUUUGCUUCGUCGCUAAAGCCUCCGGCCGCGUUCCUUCUGCACAAGAAUCCGAUCCCCAUCCCCAUACCGCCAAACCAGUUACAACUCUCCUCCUCCUACCCCGGCGAAUCUCGACCUGGACAAAGCAGCGGCCGGCCGACGCCGGCGCCAACGGACGGGGGAUCCCAUCCCAUGGAGGAGGCCUGCGAGAUCGCGCGCCUGCCGGAGGAGCUCCUCUCGGCGGCGCUGGCCCGCACGUCCCCGCGCGACGCCUUCCGCGUGGCCGCCGUCUCCCCGGCCUUCCGCGCCGCGGCCGACUCCGACGACGUCUGGGCCAGCUUCCUGCCCCCCGGCGGCCUCCCGCCGCUCGCCGACGGGGAGCUGCCCCCGCCCUCGUCCAAGAAGGAGCUCUUCCUCCGCCUCUCCGCCGGCCCCGUCCUCCUCCAGGACAGGCUCGUGGUACGUACUACCUGUACGCUCACCCUGCCUAGCUAG
This 534-nucleotide ribosomal RNA is filed under the name Triticum aestivum (bread wheat). Its description in RNAcentral is "partial small subunit ribosomal RNA". Lineage: Eukaryota; Viridiplantae; Streptophyta; Magnoliopsida; Poales; Poaceae. The record is from RNAcentral.